UACGUAGGGUGCAAGCGUUGUCCGGAAUUAUUGGGCGUAAAGAGCUCGUAGGCGGUCUGUCGCGUCUGCUGUGAAAACUCAGGGCUUAACCCUGAGCUUGCAGUGGGUACGGGCAGACUAGAGUGCGGUAGGGGAGACUGGAAUUCCUGGUGUAGCGGUGAAAUGCGCAGAUAUCAGGAGGAACACCGGUGGCGAAGGCGGGUCUCUGGGCCGUAACUGACACUGGAGGCAACGAAAGCCUAGGGGAGCAAACAGG
This 256-nucleotide ribosomal RNA is filed under the name uncultured bacterium. RNAcentral describes it as "partial 16S ribosomal RNA". It matches the Rfam family "Bacterial small subunit ribosomal RNA", at positions 524 to 776 of the family's 1533-position model. The record is from RNAcentral.